This 253-nucleotide ribosomal RNA is filed under the name uncultured bacterium. RNAcentral's name for it is "partial 16S ribosomal RNA". It matches the Rfam family "Bacterial small subunit ribosomal RNA", at positions 524 to 776 of the family's 1533-position model. The record is from RNAcentral.
UACGUAGGGGGCGAGCGUUGUCCGGAUUCAUUGGGCGUAAAGAGCUCGUAGGCGGCUUGGCAAGUCGGGUGUGAAAUCUCGGAGCUUAACUCCGAAACUGCAUUCGAUACUGCCGUGCUUGAGGACUGGAGAGGAGACUGGAAUUUACGGUGUAGCGGUGAAAUGCGUAGAUAUCGUAAGGAAGACCAGUGGCGAAGGCGGGUCUCUGGACAGUUCCUGACGCUGAGGCACGAAGGUCAGGGGAGCAAACGGG